AUUGAACGCUGGCGGCAUGCUUUACACAUGCAAGUCGAACGGCAGCGCGGGCUUCGGCCUGGCGGCGAGUGGCGAACGGGUGAGUAAUACAUCGGAACGUGCCCAGUAGUGGGGGAUAGCUCGGCGAAAGCCGGAUUAAUACCGCAUACGACCUGAGGGUGAAAGCGGGGGAUCUUCGGACCUCGCGCUAUUGGAGCGGCCGAUGGCAGAUUAGCUAGUUGGUGGGGUAAAGGCCUACCAAGGCGACGAUCUGUAGCUGGUCUGAGAGGACGACCAGCCACACUGGGACUGAGACACGGCCCAGACUCCUACGGGAGGCAGCAGUGGGGAAUUUUGGACAAUGGGCGAAAGCCUGAUCCAGCAAUGCCGCGUGUGUGAUGAAGGCCUUCGGGUUGUAAAGCACUUUUGGCGGGAACGAAAAGGACUGUGCCUAUACCACGGUUCGAUGACGGUACCCGCAGAAUAAGCACCGGCUAACUACGUG
This 484-nucleotide ribosomal RNA is filed under the name uncultured bacterium. RNAcentral describes it as "partial 16S ribosomal RNA". It matches the Rfam family "Bacterial small subunit ribosomal RNA", at positions 29 to 507 of the family's 1533-position model. The record is from RNAcentral.